CUGAAAUAAUAUUUUAAAUGGCCGCAGUAAUUUGACUGUGCAAAGGUAGCAUAAUCAUUAGUUUUUUAAUUAAAAGCUUGUAUGAAAGGUUGGACGAGGUAAAUUCUGUCUUUAUUUAAUUUAAUUUAGAAUUUAAUUUUUAAGUUAAAAAGCUUAAAUAUAUUUAAAAGACGAGAAGACCCUAUAGAUCUUAAUAUUAAUUAUGAUAGAUUUAAUUAAGAAUAAUUAAUUUUUUAUUAUAAAAAAUAUUUUAUUGGGGUAAUAAAAAGAUUAAAUAAAUUCUUUUUUUAUUUUUACAUAGAUAAAUGAAUAUUUGAUCCAAUUUUAUUGAUUAAAAGAUUAAGUUACCUUAGGGAUAACAGCGUAAUUUUUUUAGAGAGUUCAUAUCGAUAAAAAAGUUUGCGA
Molecule: ribosomal RNA, 405 nt
Filed under: Rhantaticus congestus
Lineage: Eukaryota; Metazoa; Arthropoda; Insecta; Coleoptera; Dytiscidae
Description: partial 16S ribosomal RNA
Source: RNAcentral